GCAAACUUGGUCAUUUAGAGGAAGUAAAAGUCGUAACAAGGUUUCCGUAGGUGAACCUGCGGAAGGAUCAUUAAUGAAGUCUGGGCUUCGGCCCUCUCUCUUCUACACACUUGUGAACUUACACUGUUGCUUUGGCAGGUUUCCCAGAGGACGAAAGUUCCGAGGGUCAGGUCGAAAGACGCCUGCCAUUGACACUUAUCCACCCUUUUUUAAUAGUCUGAUUAUUGUUUUAAACAAAUUAAAAUAAAACUUUCAACAAUGGAUCUCUUGGCUCUGGCAUCGAUGAAGAACGCAGC
This 296-nucleotide unclassified non-coding RNA is filed under the name uncultured fungus. Its description in RNAcentral is "partial contains small subunit ribosomal RNA, internal transcribed spacer 1, and 5.8S ribosomal RNA". The stretch from base 1 to 73 matches the Rfam family "Eukaryotic small subunit ribosomal RNA", at positions 1759 to 1831 of the family's 1831-position model. The record is from RNAcentral. Lineage: Eukaryota; Fungi.